UACGUAGGGUGCAGGCGUUAAUCGGAAUUACUGGGCGUAAAGCGUGCGCAGGCGGUCUUUUAAGUCAGAUGUGAAAUCCCCGGGCUUAACCUGGGAACUGCGGUUGAAACUGGAAGGCUAGAGUGUGGCAGAGGGGGGUGGAAUUCCACGUGUAGCAGUGAAAUGCGUAGAUAUGUGGAGGAACACCGAUGGCGAAGGCAGCCCCCUGGGCUAACACUGACGCUCAUGCACGAAAGCGUGGGGAGCAAACAGG
Molecule: ribosomal RNA, 253 nt
Filed under: uncultured bacterium
Lineage: Bacteria
Description: partial 16S ribosomal RNA
Rfam family: Bacterial small subunit ribosomal RNA
Source: RNAcentral